RNAcentral lists this non-coding RNA (77 nucleotides) under Palpitomonas bilix. The record is from RNAcentral.
UGCGAGGCCCGCGAUAGGCGGGGCAUCUCCUACCUCCGGCUCUCUCUCGAAGGGGAAGACCUCUUCAAUUUCCCGAU